RNAcentral lists this ribosomal RNA (235 nucleotides) under uncultured bacterium. Its description in RNAcentral is "partial 16S ribosomal RNA". It matches the Rfam family "Bacterial small subunit ribosomal RNA", at positions 99 to 334 of the family's 1533-position model. The record is from RNAcentral.
CGGACGGGUGAGUAACGCGUGGGUAACCUGCCUCACACUGGGGGACAACAGUUAGAAAUGACUGCUAAUACCGCAUAAGCGCACAGGAUCGCAUGGUCUGGUGUGAAAAACUCCGGUGGUGUGAGAUGGACCCGCGUUUGAUUAGCUAGUUGGUGGGGUAACGGCCUACCAAGGCGACGAUCAAUAGCCGACCUGAGAGGGUGACCGGCCACAUUGGGACUGAGACACGGCCCAA